This 253-nucleotide ribosomal RNA is filed under the name uncultured bacterium. Its description in RNAcentral is "partial 16S ribosomal RNA". It matches the Rfam family "Bacterial small subunit ribosomal RNA", at positions 524 to 776 of the family's 1533-position model. The record is from RNAcentral.
UACGGAGGGUGCAAGCGUUGUCCGGAAUCACUGGGCGUAAAGGGCGCGUAGGCGGCCCGGUAAGUAGGGGGUGAAAUCCUGCGGCUUAACCGCAGGGCUGCCUUCUAAACUGUCGGGCUCGAGCACGGUAGAGGCAGAUGGAAUUCCCGGUGUAGCGGUGGAAUGCGUAGAGAUCGGGAAGAACAUCAGUGGCGAAGGCGGUCUGCUGGGCCGUUGCUGACGCUGAGGCGCGACAGCGUGGGGAGCGAACAGG